This 459-nucleotide long non-coding RNA is filed under the name Carica papaya (papaya). RNAcentral's name for it is "long non-coding RNA (CPAP_LNC000253)". Lineage: Eukaryota; Viridiplantae; Streptophyta; Magnoliopsida; Brassicales; Caricaceae. The record is from RNAcentral.
UCGGGGUAGGACACUAGUCUUCCACAUCUACUUGAUAGGGAAUGUAAAUCAUCAUCUCCAUACUUGUACAACUUCUUGUAGAGGGAUUUAACUGAGAAGGACUCGUUGGAUGUGAGGCACCACCGAGAUGUAUCGAUGUUUCCAUCCAACAAAAUGAAAGAUAAUGUGUCCAAUAACUCCUCGUAUUCUCCAAUCUCUCGAUCAUUAAGAUAUCACAACACAAGCACCUGUUGUUCCUUCCCACUGCUAUUGUUCUCCACUAGAAGAGUCGCAAAACUUGAUGUUUUUUUACCGUGUAAUUGCAUAAAUCUAUGGAAAGAAUUCUCUCAGUGCCUUUUUCUAACCAUUGAUCCUCCCAUAGUCUAACUCUAUUUCCCCCUACCAACCUUCCAUCGUAUAUACUCCUAAAAAUUUUCUUUCCCUUGGGUGAUUUUCUUCCACAAGCUUUUCCCAUGUGGC